UGGGGCGUGGCCAAGUGGCAAGGCACGGGACUUUGGAUCCUGGAUCGUAGGUUCGAAUCCUACCGCCCCAGCCU
Molecule: transfer RNA, 74 nt
Filed under: Anaerolineae bacterium
Lineage: Bacteria; Bacillati; Chloroflexota; Anaerolineae
Description: tRNA-Gln
Rfam family: tRNA
About the family: Transfer RNA (tRNA) molecules are approximately 80 nucleotides in length. Their secondary structure includes four short double-helical elements and three loops (D, anti-codon, and T loops). Further hydrogen bonds mediate the characteristic L-shaped molecular structure. tRNAs have two regions of fundamental functional importance: the anti-codon, which is responsible for specific mRNA codon recognition, and the 3' end, to which the tRNAs corresponding amino acid is attached (by aminoacyl-tRNA synthetases). tRNAs cope with the degeneracy of the genetic code in two manners: having more than one tRNA (with a specific anti-codon) for a particular amino acid; and 'wobble' base-pairing, i.e. permitting non-standard base-pairing at the 3rd anti-codon position.
Source: RNAcentral